This 836-nucleotide ribosomal RNA is filed under the name uncultured euryarchaeote. RNAcentral describes it as "bacterial SSU rRNA". It matches the Rfam family "Archaeal small subunit ribosomal RNA", at positions 19 to 859 of the family's 1478-position model. The record is from RNAcentral. Lineage: Archaea; Methanobacteriati; Methanobacteriota.
GGAGGUCACUGCUAUUGGGAUUCGACUAAGCCAUGCGAGUCGAGAGGGUUCGGCCCUCGGCUGACGGCUCAGUAACACGUGGAUAAUCUGCCCUUAGGCGGAGGAUAACCUCGGGAAACUGAGAAUAAUACUCCAUAGGCCUAGGAUGCUGGAAUGCACUUAGGCUGAAAGUUCCGGCGCCUAAGGAUGAGUCUGCGGACUAUCAGGUCGUAGUCAGGGUAAAGACCUGACUAGCCUACGACGGAUACGGGUUGUGAGAGCAAUAACCCGGAGAUGAUAUCUGAGACACGAUAUCAGGCCCUACGGGGCGCAGCAGGCGCGAAAACUUCACACUGUGCGAAAGCACGAUGAGGGAAUCCCAAGUGCCAGCUCGUAAGAGUUGGCUGUUUUUCUGUCUAAAACACAGAGAGAGUAAGAGCUGGGUAAGACGGGUGCCAGCCGCCGCGGUAAUACCUGCAGCUCGAGUGGUGGCCGCUAUUAUUGGGCCUAAAACGUCCGUAGCCGGUUUAGUAAAUGCCUGGGUAAAUCGUGUAGCUUAACUAUACGAAUUCCGGGUAGACUGCUGAACUUGAGACCGGGAGAGGCUAGAGGUACUCCUGGGGUAGAGGUGAAAUUCUGUAAUCCUAGGGGGACCACCAGUGGCGAAGGCGUCUAGCUAGAACGGAUCUGACGGUGAGGGACGAAGCCCUGGGGCGCGAACCGGAUUAGAUACCCGGGUAGUCCAGGGUGUAAACGCUGCUUGCUUGAUGUUAGUUGGGCUCCGAGCCCAAUUAGUGUCGGAGAGAAGUUGUUAAGCAAGCUGCCUGGGAAAGUACGGUCGCAAGACUGAAACUUAA